GAAAGUUAGUUUGGAUUUUUCUAUACCCUCUUAUGGAAAAACCUGAACCAACUUUUUGG
Bos indicus x Bos taurus (hybrid cattle) is the source of this 59-nucleotide microRNA precursor. Lineage: Eukaryota; Metazoa; Chordata; Mammalia; Artiodactyla; Bovidae. The record is from Ensembl.